Molecule: non-coding RNA, 77 nt
Organism: Podarcis lilfordi (Lilford's wall lizard)
Lineage: Eukaryota; Metazoa; Chordata; Lepidosauria; Squamata; Lacertidae
Source: the annotation of a GenBank genome assembly
UCUUCCGUAGCUCAGUCCGGUAGAGCAUGAGACACUUAAUUUCAGGGUUGUGGGUUUGAGCCCUAUGUUGGGCAAAA